UGCAAACGGAUAGUACUUGUGAUUCUGGCCCUUGAUUAAAUUUAAUGCCACAACACGUUCGCCAGUGUGAUAUCCAUCGAGAACGGCCAUCUCCUCGGCAGUUAACUCAAAAUCGAAGAUAUCUAAGUUUUCCGAAAUUCGGAUCGGAAGUGUGUUUUGUAAUGCGUAUUUGGAGAUCAGUAUAUGAGUACUUUAGAGCCUCACAUGUGUAUUUAAGCGAAACCAUUGUAAGAAAUUCAGAAAGUCGGGAAAUGAAAUUAAUGCAUCCUCAGAUUCUCCGGCCCAGAUUGAAAGACCCCAUUUGGAGCAACUCCUCUUGGGUCAAGUGGAAAUCAAAGACAUCGAGAUUCUCGAUAAGGUGAACCUGCUGGGCAGCUUUUGGAAUCGGCACGGUGCCAAUGUCGAUCUGUGAAACGGUUGUAUUUUUCAACUAUUAAAUGUUUUCUCUACUUUAA
Drosophila gunungcola (fruit fly) is the source of this 455-nucleotide long non-coding RNA. RefSeq lists it as uncharacterized. The record is from RefSeq and is a predicted model, not a curated record. The transcript is spliced from 3 exons. Lineage: Eukaryota; Metazoa; Arthropoda; Insecta; Diptera; Drosophilidae.